GCCAGGCGUGGUGGUGCAUGCCUGUAAUCCCAGAGGUUAGGGAGGCUGAGGUAGGAGAAUCACGAUUUCAAAGCCAGCCUCGU
RNAcentral lists this small RNA (83 nucleotides) under Marmota monax (woodchuck). The record is from RNAcentral. Lineage: Eukaryota; Metazoa; Chordata; Mammalia; Rodentia; Sciuridae.